AUCAUCUGGGAAUCCUGUUGAAAUGCAGAUUCUGAUUCAGUAGGUCUAGGAUGAGGCUUGAAAUUUUGCAUUUCUAAUAAGUUCUCAGGUGAUAUCCA
RNAcentral lists this microRNA precursor (98 nucleotides) under Ovis aries (sheep). Its description in RNAcentral is "miRNA (ENSOARG00000022678.1)". Lineage: Eukaryota; Metazoa; Chordata; Mammalia; Artiodactyla; Bovidae. The record is from RNAcentral.